RNAcentral lists this ribosomal RNA (497 nucleotides) under uncultured bacterium. RNAcentral describes it as "partial 16S ribosomal RNA". It matches the Rfam family "Bacterial small subunit ribosomal RNA", at positions 28 to 507 of the family's 1533-position model. The record is from RNAcentral.
GAUGAACGCUGGCUGCAUGCCUAACACAUGCAAGUCGAGCGACCACACGGGGAGUUCUUUCCUUUGCCGUUGGCGACGGACGGACGGGUAACUCAUGCAUAACCAACCUAUCCUUCUGGGCGGACUACGGGGGCCAAGAUCUGAUACCUGCUGAUAUUUUUAACUGGAUGGCUCCCUAUUGAUAGGCGGUUUUUCUGUCAGUUGUAGAUGGAUCCGUGCCGCAUUAGCUAGUUGGUAAGGUCACGGCUUACCAAGGCAACGAUGCGUAGCGGACCUGAGAGGGGGAUCAGGCACACUGGAACGGAGACACGGUCCAGACUCCUACGGGAGGCAGCAGUAGGGAAUCGUCCACAAUGGGCGAAAGCCUGACCGAGCACCGCCGCGUGGGUGAUGAAGGGCUUCGGAUAGGAAAUCUCUGUUGUUAGGAAAGAACAAAAGUGUAAGUAACGUGGGACGUCUUGACGGUACCGAAUGAAUAAGCAACGGCUAACUACGUG